Molecule: ribosomal RNA, 464 nt
Filed under: uncultured bacterium
Lineage: Bacteria
Description: partial 16S ribosomal RNA
Rfam family: Bacterial small subunit ribosomal RNA
Source: RNAcentral
GACGAACGCUGGCGGCGUGCUUAACACAUGCAAGUCGAACGGUAAGGCCCCAGCUUGCUGGGGUACACGAGUGGCGAACGGGUGAGUAACACGUGGGUGACCUGCCCCGCACUUCGGGAUAAGCCUGGGAAACUGGGUCUAAUACCGGAUAGGACCGCACCGUGAGGGUGUGGUGGAAAGUUUUUCGGUGUGGGAUGGGCCCGCGGCCUAUCAGCUUGUUGGUGGGGUAAUGGCCUACCAAGGCGGCGACGGGUAGCCGGCCUGAGAGGGUGGACGGCCACAUUGGGACUGAGACACGGCCCAGACUCCUACGGGAGGCAGCAGUAGGGAAUAUUGCACAAUGGGCGGAAGCCUGAUGCAGCGACGCCGCGUGGGGGAUGACGGCCUUCGGGUUGUAAACUCCUUUCACCAUCGACGAAGGUUUUCUGACGGUAGAUGGAGAAGAAGCACCGGCUAACUACGUG